CCUCCAUUUUACAGGGUGGGCCAUUUAAAUGGAUACACCUUAAUAAAAUGGGAAUGGUUGGUGAUAUGUUGUGGAAAAAAAAUACCAAGAAAGCUUCUGACGACUCAAUGAAAAGAAGAAUUCAAAAAGCUGUCUCUUGUCACAGUCUCUGGUCCUGCUCCUUGUUCUAUUUUGAGUUCUUCAUUUUCGGUAUUGUCUGGUUUUAUUCUAGGGUUUUAUUUUGUAAGGACUUAGUUUGUCAUCCAUGUCGUCAUGUUUUGGUUCCAGUUUUCAUUUCCUGUUUUAUUUUGGUAGUACUCCCGGUUGCUGUUUCUGUUCUAGCCUUACUUCCGGUUUACGUCAUGUCACAGCUAUUCCCUGCUUCACCCGGUCAUUAUCCACACCUGCACGUCAUCAGUAAUCAGUUCACCUUGCAUUUAAGCACCACCUCUCACCCCAGUACCUUGCCAGAUUGUUUAGUUCGUGUUCGCGUGCGUUCACCGUCAUCCUGCGUUUUUGUUCUUGUCUCGACCCGUGUUUCCGAUCUUGUUUUGCCUACCGUUACCGAGCCUUGCCUGAUCCCUGCCUGCUUCGUCUGCUGAACUUAUCUGGUAAUGACCCUGCCUGUCUUAUGAUUACGAUUCUGCCUGAUCCUGAUCGGUACUGCUAUCUCUGCCAACACGGUAAACGAAUCCGGUCUGUCCACUAGAGAUGUCGAAAUCGAAGCCUCACGAAUCAUUGAACAACUAUGACGCAGUUGGGCUGAAAUCGACACAUUACUCGACACCAUUUGACACAGUCAGAACAGCGACAUGUGCUAGUUGUGUGUGAGAACUGCAUCAGAGCAGACUGACAUCAAACCCUCGCUGAUACGUGGUUGUUCAGGAUCACAGUCCAUGUUUUAUUGUCAAAUAAAAGUUAUUUAAUCAAAGAACAUGACUUUAAUCACAUUCUCACCGCCUCUCCAGCUUUGGAGAAGAGCCGCUGAUGUCUGACUAAUAUAGAUCAUCCAUCAUCUUAUAGAUCAUCUCCGGUCCGCUUGUCUGACAUAUUGAAACAACCAUCCGUUCAAACUGCAGAUAAGCCGCUCGGCAGUCACGUGAAGUAUCGACGCCUCUCGCUCUCAUUGGUCACGUGAUUUGGAACGCGCUCGAGAUUCUGCUUGACGACACUUCCGCUUCAGAAGAUCGAGUCGAGUGGGAGGUCUCGAGUUGGACAUCUCUACUGUCCACGGAACUGAGCCUGCCCGAACCCUUGCAUUGAGCCUGUCUGCUUACCUGUGUAUGACCCUGCCUGAUCCUGACUCUGAGUUUUGGAAUAAAAUCCUUUUGUUAUUCAUAUCCCUGCCUGUCCGUG
Molecule: long non-coding RNA, 1335 nt
Organism: Betta splendens (Siamese fighting fish)
Lineage: Eukaryota; Metazoa; Chordata; Actinopteri; Anabantiformes; Osphronemidae
Exons: 3
Source: RefSeq, a predicted model, not a curated record